This 605-nucleotide long non-coding RNA is filed under the name Brassica napus (rape). RNAcentral's name for it is "long non-coding RNA (BNAP_LNC025686)". The record is from RNAcentral. Lineage: Eukaryota; Viridiplantae; Streptophyta; Magnoliopsida; Brassicales; Brassicaceae.
UGAAACUGACGUAAAUUCUUCAUACACUUCAUUGUCCAUAUCAGUGCUUCUAUCUCCGAGUGAAGAGGUGAGAAACUUGCCUGAAUGUUUCUUGCCCCCAUCAAACCCUCAAGAGUGCUAUACUAACCUUGUCCUGAAUAAGGCUCCUUCUCUUUCCACGAAUCAUCUAUAAAACACCAGCGUCCUGUGAUUUUUGGGAGUCGCCUAACCUCCACUUGUUGUGAUGCCUGAUGCAUGUUCAGCACAUGUGCCUCAACCUAAAGUGUGGAUUUUGUUUCCACCAGAUUGAGCAUCUCUCUGGGAUCAAUGAAAUUACUAAAAACUUUAGUAUUCAUUCCUUUCCAAAUGUACCAUAAUAUCCACGCAAAAUGAUGAUCUUCCAUUUUCGGGAGGACUUUCCAAAAACGAAGAUCCAUAUUUGUGAAGAGAAAACUAGUGGGGAAAAAGCUGGGUUAGAUGGUAACUUUGAUAGUGCCCAAACUUGAUGCGCUGGAGGACAUUAAAAAAAACACAUGAUUUAUUGAUUCCUCUUCAACUCUGCAUCUAGCACAACAAAUUUUCCUUGUAUUUCUCUCACUUUCAAAUUUUUCUUAACAGCUGCACCC